AUCACAUCAUCUCCGUCAUCAUCAUCAUCAUAACCAUCAUACGUACCCGGCCCUCUAGUGAGGGACUCGGUGAAAUAGUCAUCACAUCAUCUCCGUCAUCAUCAUCAUCAUAACCAUCCUCAUCACCAAUCAUAUAUAUAAUAUACAUACCCGGCCCUCUAGUGAGGGACUCGGUGACAUAUGCAAGAAACUCCGCACGAACAUUACCCGGCCCGGGACUCGGUGAAAUGAUAAAUGACUCUAUGCAGGAGCAGAAUAUUAUGAGCAACCAUAUGCAAUUAAAAUCAUUU
Molecule: long non-coding RNA, 290 nt
Filed under: Solanum lycopersicum (tomato)
Lineage: Eukaryota; Viridiplantae; Streptophyta; Magnoliopsida; Solanales; Solanaceae
Description: partial TCONS_00091453
Source: RNAcentral